RNAcentral lists this ribosomal RNA (374 nucleotides) under uncultured organism. RNAcentral describes it as "partial 16S ribosomal RNA". It matches the Rfam family "Bacterial small subunit ribosomal RNA", at positions 527 to 896 of the family's 1533-position model. The record is from RNAcentral.
GAAGGUGGCGAGCGUUGUUCGGUGUUACUGGGCUUAAAGCGUAUGUAGGCGGAAGAGUAAGCGUCUUGUGAAAUCCCUCGGGCUUAACCGAGGAAUUGCUUGGGCGAACUACUUUUCUUGAGGCAAGUAGGGGUGCAUGGAACUCUUGGUGGAGCGGUGGAAUGCGUAGAUAUCAAGAGGAACGCCGAUGGAGAAAUCAGUGCACUGGGCUUGUCCUGACGCUGAGAUACGAAAGCGUGGGGAGCGAACGGGGAUUAGAUACCCCGGUAGUCCACGCUGUAAACGAUGUCUACUAGGUUGCGGGUGUUCUGACGCAGUCGCGACCGAAGCAAAAGUGUUAAGUAGACCGCCUGGGGAGUACGGCCGCAAGGCUA